GCCGGCGUAGCUCAGUGGUUAGAGCGAGGGUCUCAUAAUCCCUAGGUCGGCCGUUCGACUCGGCCCGCCGGUACCA
Molecule: transfer RNA, 76 nt
Filed under: Terriglobia bacterium
Lineage: Bacteria; Pseudomonadati; Acidobacteriota; Terriglobia
Description: tRNA-Met
Rfam family: tRNA
About the family: Transfer RNA (tRNA) molecules are approximately 80 nucleotides in length. Their secondary structure includes four short double-helical elements and three loops (D, anti-codon, and T loops).
Source: RNAcentral